This 697-nucleotide long non-coding RNA is filed under the name Sinocyclocheilus grahami. Its description in RNAcentral is "lncRNA (ENSSGRG00000038575.1)". Lineage: Eukaryota; Metazoa; Chordata; Actinopteri; Cypriniformes; Cyprinidae. The record is from RNAcentral.
GAUGUAAAUAGAGAAUUUCUGUCUCUAUUGUUUCUGUCUUAUAUUUGUAUGGCAGGUGGUUGGAGCACGAAGUGACACACUCCGAGAGCGGCUGAAGGUUGCAGAUAAGGUCAGAACUCACACUUUUCUUCACUCUCGUAUUCCUGCAUCUUCGGCACCAAGAACUUAUGUAAAUUGAAUAUUUAAUGAAGGUUCAAUUUACAACCGUUCACACAAUUUUAAUUUAAAGUGUUCUGUUAUUCUGUGCUGUGUUGUGCUGCAAAUGCCAACAGCCUGGGGCCAGUCCGGACGUACUGAGCGAAGCUCUUCUGGAAGAUCUUCUGGAGGAUGCAGCUCGAGCUCUGUGGGUGACUGAGAGGCAGCAGGUGGCCGAGGCUGAUGCUGAGAAGCAGCUGCAGGGCCCCACUUUAGAGAGCAUGUUGCUGAGGAUGGAGGAGAUGGAGAGAGACCAGGAAGAAGUGCGUCGGCGCUUUGCUAUGAUCUCAUACUCUGACCCUCUUAUCUGGGAAAAAGGCACAGAUGCUCAAAGGAAUAUUACUAGCUCUAGGCCAGCCUCUCCUCAGCCAAUCCGACUGACGAAACCAGUCCUGAAUGCACCCAGUACGGCCAACAUCCUCCUGCAAAAGCCAGUGGAGACUGGGUGAGUGACUAUCAGCUGAUUUUACAGUGUAUUGACUCCUUGUAUGCCAGGCACAUU